GUUGAACGCUGGCGGCGUGCCUAAUACAUGCAAGUCGAGCGAACGAAGGGAACUUUUUCUUCUCUGCUGCUACCGACGGACGGGUAAGGACCACGUAGCUGACUGGCCUAUAAGACUAAGGUAAGGUCGGGAAACCUAAUCUAGCACACGAUAAUAUGUUGAACGGCAUGGUUCUUCAGUCCACAAGCUAUUUGAUGUCCCUAGUUGGUAUUACCUCGUUGCAUUAGCUAGUUGGUAAGGUAACGGCCUACCAAGGCUACGAUGCGUAGCCGACCUGAGAGGAUGAUCAGCCACACUGGAACUGAGACACGGUCCAGACUCCUACGGGAGGCAGCAGUAGGGAAUCUUCCGCAAUGGGCGAAAGCCUGACGGAGCCAUGCCGCGUGAGUGAUGAAGGUCUUCGGAUCGUAAAACUCUGUUAUUAGGGAAGAACAUAUGUGUAAGUAACUGUGCAUGUCUUGACGUUACCUACUCAGAAAGCAACGGCUAACUACGUG
RNAcentral lists this ribosomal RNA (497 nucleotides) under uncultured bacterium. RNAcentral's name for it is "partial 16S ribosomal RNA". It matches the Rfam family "Bacterial small subunit ribosomal RNA", at positions 28 to 507 of the family's 1533-position model. The record is from RNAcentral.